AACGAACGCUGGCGGCGUGCCUAACACAUGCAAGUCGAACGAGAAUCCGGGCUUCGGUCCGGUAGUAAAGUGGCGCACGGGUGAGUAACACGUGGGUAACGUACAUCGUAGUGGGGGAUAACCAGGUGAAAGCUUGGCUAAUACCGCAUGAGUCCGCUGGGGCGCAGGCCCUGGCGGGGAAAGUGGAGCAAUCCACGCUACGAGAUCGGCUCGCGGCCCAUUAGCUAGUUGGCGGGGUAACGGCUCACCAAGCCGAAGACGGGUAACCGGUCUGAGAGGAUGUCCGGUCACACUGGGACUGAGACACGGCCCAGACUCCUACGGGAGGCAGCAGCAGGGAAUCUUGGGCAAUGGGCGAAAGCCUGACCCAGCGACGCCGCGUGGAGGAAGAAGUCCUUCGGGGCGUAAACUCCUGGACUGGGGGACGAGUAAGGACGGUACCCACGUAGAAAGGGACGGCUAACUACGUGCCAGCAGCCGCGGUAAGAGUACUCUAU
RNAcentral lists this ribosomal RNA (497 nucleotides) under uncultured bacterium. RNAcentral's name for it is "bacterial SSU rRNA". It matches the Rfam family "Bacterial small subunit ribosomal RNA", at positions 29 to 538 of the family's 1533-position model. The record is from RNAcentral.